CAAUAAAUGACUCCCUUUCUAAAAAUUGCUUUUGUCGUGUAGCAUUGGAAAUACAAAAAAUAGUAUAUACCAACACACACACGUGCAAUAAAAUAGAAUUCACACUCAAGAUACGGUACCCAACUUCAGAAUUAGAACAUUACAAGUAUUUUUGAAGUUAUCUAUGCAUUCCUCCCUGAUUCCAUCCUUUUGCCUACCACACAGAAUUAAACAAUAUUCUAAAUUUAGUGCUUAUUUUCUCUUCUGUUUAUCCCCACAUAGGGAUAUGGCUCUAAACAAUAUAUUGCAUGAUGUGUUAUUAGCUUUUUAUAAGUAGUAUCAGCUUCAUAAAAACGGUAAUUUUCUGUGACUUUCUUUACUCAGCACUACGAUUCAUCUUCCCUAGUGUGUGUGCUAUUGUUUGUCUACUUUCAUUACUUUUAAUUAUAUGAUUGUGCAAAUAUAUCAUGAGUUAUCCAUCAUCAGAUUGAUGGCUGGUUGUUUCCAGUGUUUUGCUAUUACUAACAGUGCUGCAUAAACAUGCUUGUAUACGUCACCUUAUUUUCGUUACCCAAGUUCAAGUCUGUCUCAAGGCCUUUGUGAGGCAGUCCUGAUCACAGAAACCAGCCCGAGUGUGUCAAACCAAAGGAUUUAAUAUAGGGAAUUGGAUGAAAAGAUAUUGGAAGGAGCAAGGGGGCGGGAUCUGCAAGAGUGAAAGGAAAGGAAGAAUGAUACUCAGAGAUCAGAUGCUACUAAUGCCCCAAGGCUGAAAGUCUCUGAAUCCACCAGCUGCUGCACUGUUGGGUGUGGUGUUCCGGUACAUAACGGAUCUGCUGAGAUGAGCUGCUUUGACCAGGCCUGGGCUUCUGAAAGGUGUUAUCUCUGCAGUGCUGGAGGUAGAAACAGCUUGACCCCGUUAUUUCUCAACCUGCAGCUGCCAGAAACUGCCAGGACCUGCCUCAUUCUGAGAGCCAGAAGCAUAAAGCAUUUCCGUUUCUCUUGCCUACUGAUCUCCUGAAAAUUUCUUCUCCUGACUGAAUCUUACCAAGGGCCAGAUGGCAAAGUAGCACAAAACGUAAUUUUCAGAUUCCUACGCUCUGAUAAAGUAUUAAAGGGGAGAUGUUGGGUUCAGAGAUCGGCAAAUAAGCAACACAAGCCCUCACUUCUAACUGAAAGCAGAAAAUUUAGCUUAAUUGUUCUCAGGUAAACUUGGCCAAGUAGUGAUUUCUCAGUCAUUUCAAAUUUAAUAACAUUCAAAGCCAGAGUUCUUCAAUUCUUUACUUUCUCUCAAUCAUAGUAUUUAAAUUCUAAGGGUGGAUAACUAAAUCCAAGAGUUGGAAAGAGGCCUACUCAUUUGCUCGGGCCACCACAACAAGCAGCACAGGCUGGGUGGCUUAGACAGCGGAGAGUCAUUUUCUCAUCGUUCUGGAGGUUAGAAGUUUGAGAUCAGUGUGUUGGCAGCCUUGGCUUCUUCUAAGUUCUCUCUCCUCGACUUCUUGGCUCAGAGACGGCCGUCCUCCUGCAGUGUCUUCACACGGUCUUUCUUCUGUGUGUGUGUCCCGAUCUCCUCUUCUCAUAAGGCAUCCGUUAUAUUGGAUUAGGACCCACCCACAUUGAUAUCGACCCUGACAUCAGUUUCCCCACGUUAAACCCAGCAUAUAUGGGGUUAAAACCAAAACACUCAUUCCCUGCUUACUCUCUGGCUUCCUGGCUCCAGAAUCCACUAUCCUCCAUGGAGACGGACACCGUCAAGGACAAGCACCUGGACUAUCUCCUCCCACAAAGAGAUACAGACUGGUGGGAAAGCUGCUGACCAGCAAGGUCACAGGCUUCCUCCUCUCUGUAAAUGUCUCAAGGCCGAAGACAGGCUGGUUGGGAAAGCUCCGACCAGCAAGGCCAUAUGCUCCCCCUCCCCUACCUAAAACCCCAAAUAGAAACCCUUCCUUUUAGCUUUUUGGGGAGUUUGGGAUUUCAGCGUUAGCUGCCCUCUCUCCUUGCUCAGCGCUGUGCAAAAAUAAAGUUCCUACUUUCUUCCACCACCCCCGGUGUCAGAGAUUGGCUUGCUGCGCAACGGGUGAGGGAACUCACUUCAGGUUCAGUAACAAUUUGGCACCCCAGAUGGGACAAUGUCCCAGGUGGACGUCUCGCCUGUGGCACACCGGCCUCUGGCUAAAGGCCUCUCUUGGAAGCUGUCCUGCAGCUGCCUGAGCCCCUUGUCUCAGGGACAGCCCCAAGUGACUGGCUGCUAGCCAGACGUUGGCCCAUGGCGCUUUUGCUUUGGUGGUGGAAGAAACCAGGUUUAGGACAUAGGAAGACGUCUCUUGUAAGUAGCUGGUAGUUUUUGUUUUUGUCUUUGUGUUAACCUUCUCCAACAGGACCGGCUGGAAAUAAUGGGUACCCUGGCAGCCCUCUGGGCUCCAUUUGUUUUGAAGUCGCCGCGAUGCCCCGGCCAAAUUUUGGUGUCAACAUGGGAGAUGCUGCAUUUAUCCCACCUAAGAGCCCCUUUGGGAAAAACUUUGGCUGGUGGUCGACCUAGAGCUAUAAGCCAAUGUCUAAAGAGGGAUGAUUUUCUUUUGUAACACCAUGUGGCCACAAUAUUCUUUAGACUCCGGACAGAAAAAAAAAUGGCCAAACGAUGGAUCGUCAAGUUGGGAAACUUUUAGAGAGCUCUUAUGAUAAACAACUGUUUUAUUGGCACCUAUGAAAAGCCCAAAUUAAGAGGAAACUAUAAUGACUAGUCUUAAGAACUUAAUCCAACUUGGGGUCUCAGCUUCUCGUAGUCUUACAGAUGCUAAUGAAAAUGUUAAGUUAACAAAGAGAAAUCAGAAAUGGAAGAGUCACAGGACUCGCCCCAAUGGGAUACAUGGAACAGAUAUGGAUGAAGUUAAAACAAAGGUUUUAAUGAAACACUGCCUAAGGUUGGAUGGGCUAAAGGGACCGCCCUAUUGGCUCCCCAACAUUAAAGGACAUCAGACAAACCUGUUCUAUUUACCCCAGUUUGAAAAAUUUAAAAGGUCAGGAGGCAGAAAUCAAAGUGAGAAACCUGACCAACAAUUGUUUGGGGCAACAGUUAGGCUACUGAGAUUAAUAAGACUAUAAAGAUUAAAGUGUUUAAGCUAAUGUUAUAUGCGAGGUUAUGUCAACUUCGCCUGGAUGUUUUCUUUGGGAACAAAUGUUAUGUCUAACUAGGAAUGCUUCUGCUGAACAAUAUUGUAAUACCAAAACCUGUUAAUAGAAUUCUAAUGUAAGUUAUAAUUAAAAGUAUAAGGGUUAGUAAAAGUAAGAUAAAGUUUUGUAAAAAUUGAUAUACUUAAACAGGCCAAUUUCAGUUCACACAAACUGGUGUAUGCAAUUGGAAAAGCUAGCUGCAACAAUGGGGAGGCUGUUUUAAUCUUUUGAGGCUUCUAAAUAAUAUUAGAAAUACUUUACUUCCUCUUUAAGAGAAAAUAAUUAAAUAAUUAAACAUGCCAGCAGCCAACUCAAAUCUGCUGCUUUUUUCUACUCUCUUGCUGAGCUUCCCAGCAAGCUGAGCUUCGCUUCAACUCCCCCAAAAUUUAUGAUCUAAAAUGGAACGAGUAAAAAUAAGUAAACUUCUGAGAUAAUUUAGAAUUGUAAUGGCCAUUCUGAAAACCCGUUUCAGAAGAGGGUUCAAAAUCUCUCCUAAUGGAAUGCAGUCUUUAAUGAAUAUGCAAAAACUUCUAAGAGACAAGGUUAUUUAACAUGAUAUAAAAUGAUCUUUGAUGAAUAAAAGCCUGUUUAAGUUUGCUGGUUUCAUUUAAAAUGAACAUGUCCUCAAAGUUAUCAGCAUUGGCUAUAAUGCAGACAUACAGCCUGGGUUUACUGGUCAAAUGAGCUCAUGUCAUCUCUGUCACAAAAUUUAUCAGCAAAACUCACAACUCAGUAUAAUAGCUAAUUUUGCUUAAUGUCUCAUGGAGUUUUUGUAGACGAUCUAAAUAUAAUUGUUAAGAACAAGUAAACUAAAUAAAUAUACAUAUAAUUAUAUGUAUAAUAAUUAUGAUAUAUGUAUUUAAACAACUGAGGAUAAUACUUCACUGCUGUAAUGUCACAUGAAGUUUUUAAGAGUAAUUGUUAAAACUGGGUAAGAGUUUUAAGUACAAUAAUUAUGUUUUAUAGUCUGUAUACUUAAAAAACAGCUUCCAAAAUCUUUUUGGAAACUUAAAUUUUAUAGUUUUACUAAGUUAAAUUAAAUAAUAACGGUUUGUUGGGUAUCUAGGUCAUUUCCAAGUAAGAUAAAAUAUUAAAGGUUAACUACUAAGCAUAUAUUUAUCUGCCUUUGGUUUCUUAUAUCAAAGAGACUAAAAAAUGCUUAGGUUUAUUGAUAAACAUGCUUUAUUUGUGCUGAAAAAUUUUCCAUGAGGAAACAUAUAUUUCUAAAAGGUCUGUAUACAAGGAAAGUAAAAUAUAUGUUUUCAGUAAAAAGAUACAAAGAAUGGGAAUAUUUUUGUUUCUUGAGUUGAGAAAGAUAAAUUUGUCCUAAAGUGCUGGGACAAAUUCUGAAGGUAAAAAAGUAACCAAAGGUUUGUAAAAGGAAAGCCCUAAAGAGGUUUAUGUCUGGUCAAGUUGGCCAGGAGUAAAGUAAAUCCAAUUAAGUAAAUAAACUUAUAUGUCAAAAGUAAACUGACACAGGGGCUGGCCCCGUGGCCGAGUGGUUAAGUUCGCGCGCUCCGCUGCAGGCGGCCCAGUGUUUCGUUAGUUCAAAUCCUGGGCGCGGACAUGGCACUGCUCAUCAGACCACGCUGAGGCAGCGUCCCACAUGCCACAACUAGAAGGACCCACAACGAAGAAUAUACAACUAUGUACCGGGGGAGCUUUGGGGAGAAAAAGGAAAAAAUAAAAGCUUUAAAAAAAAAAAAAAGUAAACUGAUACAAAAUUAAAACUUGGUUUCCUCUUUCUUAAAAGGAUAAUUUUCCUAAAUUUUUAAUCUGAUCUUUAUAAAAAGAUUAUAAAAAGGCUGUUUUUUGUUGACUAUUUUAACUGUUUCCCCUUGACUGUUUCUAUUGUCACUUUGAAUAGAUACCUGAACAUGGUUUCGCAGUGAACUUUGUCUCCUAUCUAAACAAAUGUUUUAAAGCUUUUAGUAUUUCUGACAAGCUUCCCCACACACACAAAUAUUCAAGUCUUGAAUAAAAGCUUUCUUUUUACCUGGAAGAGGAGAGAGAGUUUCUUUGGGGAUUUUCAGAGGGCCCCUGGGACUUCUCAGAGAAAGCUCUCUUCCUAUAAGAAAAAUAAUGCUAAACUAAUAAGCCUUAUUUUUUUUGUUAAAUUACAUGAGAAACGUUGUCAAAUAAGUAAUGAUAAGCUUUCUUAAAUGGUAUUAUGUAAAUGAGUGUUAUUGAUACAUAUAUAUUUAAA
RNAcentral lists this long non-coding RNA (5353 nucleotides) under Equus asinus (donkey). RNAcentral's name for it is "lncRNA (ENSEASG00005023997.1)". The record is from RNAcentral. Lineage: Eukaryota; Metazoa; Chordata; Mammalia; Perissodactyla; Equidae.